AUGUCCGACUCUAAGGUGGUGGACGCCCAGGCAGGUUAUGAAAGCGCCAACACGGCCAUGGUUGUUGCCCUAUCGGGCUGCAACUACAUCCAUGAUGCUU
Molecule: non-coding RNA, 100 nt
Organism: Firmicutes bacterium ML8_F2
Lineage: Bacteria; Bacillati; Bacillota
Source: Rfam